This 543-nucleotide long non-coding RNA is filed under the name Homo sapiens (human). RNAcentral's name for it is "non-protein coding lnc-CDH2-5:1". The record is from RNAcentral. Lineage: Eukaryota; Metazoa; Chordata; Mammalia; Primates; Hominidae.
UGCCAACACUAUGUUGUCAUAAAGACAAAAUAGAGAGCACAGACUUUCAAUCCUUCCCGUUCAUUCAGGGGUGGAGUCAGAGAAGGCCUGGUGGAGAGACUUUUAUCACUGUCCAGCGGUAAUGAGGCCACCCUCUAGCAAUAUCAUAGGAAGCCACAUGGAGAGGAAAAAAAACAAGGCAUCCAUGCUCCUUCUAACAAGUGUGAUAUCAGCAGAGACUUAGUGAAGAACCUAAAAAAACCAUACCUACCCAGCAGUAACUAGCAGACCUCCCUUCUCUCUAAUUGUGAGGAUUAAAAGAUAUGUCAUGUCAAACUUGCCACGUGACCUUGGGCAAGUUACUUAAUCAUGCUAAUCUCAGUUUGUGUUAGUAAAAUGAGGUUUACAAUGGUGGUUACCCCUCCAGAGUAAUUGUGAAAAUUAAAAAAGAAAAUGAAUAUAAAGUGUUUCACUGAGAGCUUGUCAGUUAGAAAGUGCUAAAUGUUAAAAUUAUUAUUACAUGUUAGAAAUUAUUUGCACUAUUAGUUAUACUUUUAGUUUUGA